Molecule: unclassified non-coding RNA, 343 nt
Filed under: soil metagenome
Description: partial contains 5.8S ribosomal RNA, internal transcribed spacer 2, and large subunit ribosomal RNA
Rfam family: 5.8S ribosomal RNA (bases 1-120)
Source: RNAcentral
GAUGAAGAACGUAGCGAAAUGCGAUAAGUAAUGUGAAUUGCAGAAUCCAGUGAAUCAUCUAAUCUUUGAACGCACAUUGCGCCCGCCAGCAUUCUGGCGGGCAUGCCUGUUCGAGCGUCAUUUCAACCCUCGACCUCCCUUUGGGGAAGUCGGCGUUGGGGACCGGCAGCACACCGCCGGCCCUGAAAUGGAGUGGCGGCCCGUCCGCGGCGACCUCUGCGUAGUAAACCAACUCGCACCGGAACCCCGACGUGGCCACGCCGUAAAACACCCAACUUCUGAACGUUGACCUCGAAUCAGGUAGGACUACCCGCUGAACUUAAGCAUAUCAAUAAGCGGAGGA